GAGAUGUGAUGAGUAACUUAUUGGUCCGUGUUUCUGAUUUACCGUGACCGAGAAUUUUUAACCAACCUCUGAUCUC
Molecule: small nucleolar RNA, 76 nt
Organism: Raphanus sativus (radish)
Lineage: Eukaryota; Viridiplantae; Streptophyta; Magnoliopsida; Brassicales; Brassicaceae
Product: small nucleolar RNA SNORD18
Exons: 1
Source: RefSeq, a predicted model, not a curated record